UAAGGAAUUGCUGCUGAAAUUAGCAUAUCACCUUUGCUUUGAGUUCAACCUUGUGCUGAUUUAGCACCAUCAUCCUCUAGCUUCCUUCCCUCUUGGAAGGCCUCCUGAGCUAGAGAAACCUCACACACACUCACCAAACCUCCACUGAACCAUUUCACAAACACUUGGCAUGCACUGCUUUCACCAACAUUUCUUCAUUCCGCUGGCAUUUCUGAAUCCAGAAGCCACUUCAUUCUUGAGGGUGGAGGUCGCUUGCAUCAUUUGGCAUCAAGAGCCAACACGUCCACGCCUUGCUUCAAUAGCUAAGUUGCUAGUUCUUUCAUUUUCUACACUUUCGAAUUGUGUUGUUCUAUAUUUGUCACUGUUUGAUUGUUUUUCUUGCUUCAUUUUGUGUUUGAGUGCAUAAUUGCUUUCGUUCACUAUUCCUUAGUGUUUCUUUAUCAUUUUAAUUGGUGCAAUUCAUUCAUUUUAUUUCAAUUCCAGCUUUAUUUUCAGUUUCGCAUUGUCCACUAUGAUGUGCAAUUUUGUUUGCCGUUUUGAACUUUGUCAAGUAAUUGAUUUUGUUCCAGCUUUAAUUCUUUCGGUUUUGAUUGUGUCCAAUGCAUUUGCUAACUCUAUGUUCAUCAUAUAAAGCAAUGGCAUCAUGUCCAACUUUGAUCAUUUGAGAUAAAGCAAUGCAAUCUUUGUUUCCAGUUACAAAAGCUGCAUAAAAAAAAAUUGAUUUCAGUUUGAUCUGGUGCAAUCUGUUUUUGUCCAUAUUUUGUGCUUCUAAACCUUUGUGCAUGUUUGUUUAACAUUGGUAAGCAUUACUUAAGGUGUAGCAACUCAUAUUAAUCACAGAAUUGCAAAAUGAGUGGUUGAGUUCAUUAAAAUAUGGUUUCAAAAUUUUUGCAUCAAAACUCAUUUCUGGUUUAAUCAUGUCACGUUGUUCUGUCCAUAUUUAUUGAUCCUAAUGCUUGAGACAAGUUUAUUUGAUGAAUUUAAACAUGUUUCAAGUGCUAGAAAUCUGAAUUCACCACUGAAUCUCAAAAUCAGUAGUUGAGUUGAUCAAAACUCUGGUUUUAAAACUAUCACUGUUUUUUAUCAAAGUGUAUGCACCGUGCUUGUCGUCCUUGCUUGAGUUUAGGUCCUUUAAAUUCUGCUAGCUUAUAUUCUACAACUAGAUCUAGUCAUUUAGGACUUUCUUCUGCUUUGAAUGAACCAACUAGCUUUGCAUCCACUGUUUUAUCAACUCUACAACAAUUUUCAAUACAUUUUUCUGCAUUUUAAGCAACUGCUACUGUCAAUUGUUGAUUAUGUGUAUUUUUGUGCUAUUUCAACGUUUGUGCACAUGCAUUUUACCAUUUGAAAGUUGUGUGUACUAUUCAUUGUUCAAUUUUGAGCCAAUGUGCAAAAUCACUUCCUAAACCAUCAAUUUUGCUUAAAUGUGGAAGUUAACUAGUGAAUUUCGAGUGCAAUGUAUUUCUUUGUUGUCUCAGUGCCUAAACACCUUCAAAUUGAUGAUAAAAAGUUGCUCAAAGCAUCAAUUUAUGUUUCCAAACGUCUUUAUACAGAAUAACCCAUUAAACCACCAAAUUUUGCUUAAAUUUGGAAGUGAAAAAUGAUUUUCGAGUGCAGUGUGAUUCCUUGUUUCAGUGUUUAAACACCUUCAAAUUGAUGAUAUAAAGUUGCUUGAAGCAUCACUUGAGCUUUAGAAACACUGCCAGUCAUUUUUGGGUUUGAAAACACACUUUUGAAGCCACUUUUCUGGUGUAGUAGGCUAUUUUGUUGCUUUUUGAAAAUUUUCCAAUCUUUAAAACUCAUUUCUGGAUUGGCAAGAGUUGGUAUGAUGUUUCCAAAUGAAAUUAUAUGAUCAAAACAAUAUAAAACAUCCAUAAAAAGAAAAAGAAAACCAAGCAAUCCAGUUUUGAACCCUAAAACCAAAAAUUCCAAAAAUCUGCACUUCUUUGGGGACUUUCAUCAAACAAUUUGCAAAAUUAUCAAACAGUUUACUGCACUACUUUUGGCUUUUCGUUUUUCCUUUUCCUUGCGUGUUUAAUCUGAUCUAGUGCCUCUCCUAGGUUCCUUUUGUGUGCCUCCAUUGAUUCAAAACUUAAAAUCCUUUGAAAUCAACUUGUUUGGACUCCAAAUCGUGCCAUAAAGUUUCUUACCCGAAAUUAAAAAUUUGGUGUAGUGCAGAGUUGUUGUGACUGGUUUGGUGUGUAGCAGGGUGCUGUGAUGUUUUGGUGAGGCUUCCAAGGUCCAGAAUCCUUGCUCAAAGGGUGUAGCAUCUUAGGAAGUGGAAGAUGUGUUAAAUUGGCUACAAGCUUGCAACUCAAAGUGCCACUUUUUCCUUUCUCAUACAACAACAAUUUUGCAGCAAACACCACACUUUUUUUCUCCCAAUUUUGGACCUGCACAACUCUGAGCCAACAGCCACACUUGGCUUUGUUCACUUGUAAGCAUAUUUUCAUGUAUUUUUUAUUCAUUGCAUCAUGGAACCUUUGCGGUUUAUUUGGCUUUUAUUUUGCAAUUUAAAGUGGCUUGGAAAAAUGCUUUUAAGCAAUUUCAAGUGCACAAUCAAACAUUGUAAUAUCUUAGUUUCCACUUCUUAGUGUGCGAGUGUGUUAAGGGGCUCAAAGUGUCACUUGCACUUUCACUUAGGACCGCAUAUCAUUUUUCAUUGGCAUUGUUUACUUUACUUUGUUGCUUGACUUUUUUGUUUUAAGUCUCCAUGAUACAUAGGAGCGCGUUUCAUUAAAUAAACCUUUGUUUCGUUUCUAUGUGCAUUUCAUUUUGCAUUCAAAAAGCUUUUGAAAGAUUUCUACCUAGAAACUAAGGUAAGAAACAACCAAAAAAACUCUGGCUAAGGAAGGACAAGGUUCUUAAGCUUGUCCAUUGUGACUCACCUCUCCUUCCUGGGAGCUAUUUGGUUCAUUUUACCUCUAGAAUCUUUCUAGAAAUCUUUCACAAAAAUAUCUAAAGAGUUUGAUGUCUUGUUAUAAUUCCUAUAGGUCUUCUUCUUCAUAUAGGUCCUCUUGGUCUUCUAGUUUUGAUAAGCCAAUUGGUUACAAAGACAUUAAAAGAGCACUUGACAAAGUUAGAAGGAAGACUUGUUCAUUUUAUGAAUUUGAGAGGAUUAAGGAUGAUUUAUAUCAUCAAGCUAGGCAAAAUAUUCCAUUUUUUGGUGAGGAUAUUGGUGCAUUAACAUACCUAGCUUGGGAAAGGGAAAUUGAUGACAUGCAUCUGUUCAUUGCUAGAAAAAGUAAACCUAAAUCCUAUUUCUACGUUAGCAAUAGUGCAUCUUAUGUCCUUAGUCUCUACGCAUCUAGCUUUGAAGUACAUGCAAGAGAGAGGUGGGAUGAAAGACAAUAUCAUGUUAGGAUAGGUAGAAAGUCUCUCAUUCGUGAUUGGUAUGAAUUAAAAUCUUUCAUUAGAAAAGAGUUUGUGCCUUCCCCUAUUAAGAGAAACCUACAAUUACUAAGAGCUUACAUUGAAGAUGGAAAAAAAUUUCUUGAAAGCUUAAAUGACAAUGGUUUUCUUAUUAGAGAACUAGAAUUUGAGAUUAAUCUUAAAGUUGAAACUAAAAAGAGAUGUUGAGAGACAAAAAGAGGAAAUAAGAUAAGAAGAAGAGAAGAGAGAGAAGAGAAUAAGAGAGAAGAGAAAAAGAGAGAAGAGAGAAAGAAGAAGAGAGACGAGAAAGACAAAGAAGAGAAAAGGAAAAGAGAAGAGAAGUAGAAAAGAAGAAAGAAGAGGACAAUAGAGAAAAAGAUGAAUUGCUACUGAUGGCAAAUUUAACUCUUCCAAAAAUCAAGACACCUAAAAGGGAAGGGUUCUCAUUCUUUACUUCUUUUCCAAUUCUUGUGCACUCUUCCAUUAUUAUUUUUUCUUUUAAAACAAUUGCCAUUCCAUAUUCUUUGCAAUACUUUUCAAAAGAUGGCAACUCAAAUCUUGAAUUAAUGUUACCCUUGUGUACACAAGUAACUCAAGAUAGAAAUCAAAUAACUUGGGAAUAUGGAAUUCUCCACUUUUCCAAGACUAAUUCUCAUAAAAUCUUUUUCAAAAAUACAAGACUUUCCUUUUGUCUUCUUAUCUUUGCAAAUAUCUCAUUCAUCAUACUAAUUUUUGCUAUUUUUUGUACAUAUAUCUUUGACCCAGGUGGAAAAUAAACACUAAAGUUGUGCUUCUUCUUUCUUCCCAAUUUGAGGACAAAUCAUUUUUAAAGAGGGAGGGAAUGAUGGCAACCCCUUUAGGGACUUUCCAUCCAAAGAAGUAUCAACUAAAACUAAAACUAAAACUAAAGAAAGGGAAAUAGAAUAAAGAUUGCUAAAGCUUUUUCCUUACCUAAGUCUUAGAUAGAUUCUUUCUUAACUAAAUACAUUGUUUUGUAGGACACUAAUAAAGAUUGAGAUGUAUACCUACAUAUCCUAGGAAGCCGCCAAGCAAGAGGGAACAAAGGAGGCUAAGAAGAGUGCAAGUAGUGCAGCUGGCACUCAGCGCACGCGAUGUAUCCCUCAGCGGCAACGGGACAAAUUUCUCUUCUAUUUUUUAGCACGUUUUCAAUGUUUACCAUUGGAACAUGUGGCCAACCGUGACACUUCUCCUGCACACUUCUUCUAGAUUCAUGCACGUGUUUAAUAUGCAACUUAUGUAGCUUCCCUUGCACGUUUCCAAGCUCCUCUUCAUCUAUAAAAAAAAAAGCAUCAAUCCAUUGUAAAACUUAACUUGAAUGACAUAAGGAAUUGCUGCUGAAAUUAGCAUAACACCUUUGCUUCGAGUUCAACCUUGUGCUGAUUUAACACCAUCAUCCUCUAGCUUCCUUCCCUCUUGGAAGGCUUCCUGAGCUGGAGAAACCUCACACACACUCACCAAACCUCCACCGAACCAUUUCACAAACACUUGGCAUGCACUGCUUUCACCAACCAUUUCUUCAUUCCGCUGCCAUUUUUGAAUUGAGAAGCCUCUCCAUUCUUGAAGGUGGAGGUCGCUUCCAUCAUUAAGUCCUCUAUCUGUGUUCCUUGAUCAUAACAUUCAUUCCGUAAAAAAUAUUGGGUAUUACAAUGAAUACUGUGCAAUCAGGAGUAGGUGAAACUCGGUACUAGUCAGAGUACCAGUGGUUACUUGGAGUGACUAGGGAUAUUAGGAGUGGUGAGAAUACUCACUAGUAACCUUCUUGAAGAUUACAGUGGAACCCUCUAAGGUGUUAGAGAAAACUGGACGUAGCUCGAUAGAGCGAACCAGUGUAAAAACGAUCGUGUGCUUAUUGCUUUAUUCUCUUCAAAUGUUUCUCUUACAAAUCCUACCGUUGCACUUUAUUUUAAAUGAUAUAAAAACUCUUGUUAUUCAACGACUCUUUAUUAAAAAGG
Molecule: long non-coding RNA, 5345 nt
Filed under: Vigna radiata
Lineage: Eukaryota; Viridiplantae; Streptophyta; Magnoliopsida; Fabales; Fabaceae
Description: long non-coding RNA (VRAD_LNC017075)
Source: RNAcentral